GUGCCAGCAGCCGCGGUAAUACGUAGGAGGCAAGCGUUAUCCGGAAUGACUGGGCGUAAAGGGUGCGUAGGUGGUAUAGCAAGUUGGUAGCGUAAUCCCGGGGCUCAACCUCGGUGCUACUACCAAAACUGUUGUACUUGAGUGCAGGAGGGGCAAAUGGAAUUCCUAGUGUAGCGGUGGAAUGCGUAGAUAUUAGGAGGAACACCAGAGGCGAAGGCGAUUUGCUGGACUGUAACUGACACUGAGGCACGAAAGCGUGGGGAGCAAACAGGAUUAGAUACCCUGGUAGUCCACGCUGUAAACGAUGAAUACUAGAUGUGGGAGGUAUCGACUCCUUCCGUGUCGGCGCUAACGCAAUAAGUAUUCCGCCUGGGGAGUACGGCCGCAAGGUUGAAACUCAAAGAAAUUGACGGGGACCCGCACAAGCAGCGGAGCAUGUGGAUUAAUUCGAAGCAACGCGAAAAACCUUACCAGGUCUUGACAUCAAGUGAAAGCCUUAGAGAUAAGGCCCUCCUUCGGGACACGAAGACAGGUGUUGCAUGGUUGUCGUCAGCUCGUGUCGUGAGAUGUUAGGUUAAGUCCUGCAACGAGCGCAACCCUCGUAUAUAGUUGCCAAUAUUAAGUUAGGAACUCUAUAUAGACCGCCGUGGUUAACACGGAGGAAGGUGGGGAUGACGUCAAAUCAUCACGGCCCUUACGACCUGGGCUUCACACGUGCUACAAUGGCUAUUACAAAGAGCAGCGAAAUCGCAAGGUGGAGCGAAUCUCAAAAAGAUAGUCUCAGUUCGGAUUGUGGGCUGCAACUCGCCCACAUGAAGUCGGAGUUGCUAGUAAUCCCGAAUCAGCAUGUCGGGGUGAAUGCGUUCUCGGGUCUUGUACACACCGCCCGU
RNAcentral lists this ribosomal RNA (890 nucleotides) under uncultured bacterium. Its description in RNAcentral is "bacterial SSU rRNA". It matches the Rfam family "Bacterial small subunit ribosomal RNA", at positions 505 to 1397 of the family's 1533-position model. The record is from RNAcentral.